UGGUGGUUUGGUGGUGGUUUGUUUUGUUGGAGAGCAAGCGUAGAUUGGAGUUUACAGAGGCUAGAGGAGGAUUUUGUUUUUACAUUUGAUUAAAUUGGAUGUCUCAUCUCAGACAGUGAGUCUGUCCUGUCCGCCAGGCCCGGUGUUGUUGGCUGGGAGGAACUGGAGGGAGAAAAUCCAGAGAGAGGGGUCUGGGAUUAGGAGUGGGCCAAGAAGGAAAAUACGAACAGAAAAGUGAGGAGGGGAAAAGGGGAGAAGGCCUUGGCCAAGAAUCUUACAGCAGUCCAGGUGAGGGGCCUUACCCAGGAGGUCCUGGCCAGUUUGAAGAGCUCCAGCUUGGCCAGGGUGAGCCACACGCAGUCAGAGUCCUCCCCAUUCCGCUGCAGAAGUCUGGAGCCACAGCAGAUCAGGAGUACUCCAAGACCAUGACCCAGUUCUUCCCCCAGCUCUUCUUGGCCUUCAUCACUCAGGUUCACUAUGUGCUGGAGCUGGGCCUGCGGGAGGACCAGAAGCAGGAGGCCAGAAAGCCCAUCGUGCCCUCCAACCUCGGCCCCUGGAGGUGAGCGGAGCAGGGA
Ornithorhynchus anatinus (platypus) is the source of this 575-nucleotide long non-coding RNA. RefSeq lists it as uncharacterized. NCBI's taxonomy places the organism in Eukaryota, Metazoa, Chordata, Mammalia, Monotremata, Ornithorhynchidae. The record is from RefSeq and is a predicted model, not a curated record. The transcript is spliced from 3 exons.